GGGCCCUUCGGGGUCAGCGGCAGACGGGUGAGUAACGCGUGGGAACGUGCCCUUCGGUUCGGAAUAACUCAGGGAAACUUGAGCUAAUACCGGAUACGCCCUUAUGGGGAAAGGUUUAUCUGCCGAAGGAUCGGCCCGCGUCUGAUUAGCUAGUUGGUGAGGUUACGGCUCACCAAGGCGACGAUCAGUAGCUGGUCUGAAAGGAUGAUCAGCCACACUGGGACUGAAACACGGCCCAAACUCCUACGGGAGGCAGCAGUGGGGAAUAUUGGACAAUGGGGGCAACCCUGAUCCAGCCAUGCCGCGUGAGUGAUGACGGCCUUAGGGUUGUAAAGCUCUUUUCUCCGGGACGAUAAUGACGGUACCGGAGGAAUAAGCCCCGGCUAACUUCGUGCCAGCAGCCGCGGUAAUACAAAGGGGGCUAGCGUUGCUCGGAAUCACUGGGCGUAAAGGGCGCGUAGGCGGCUGAUUUAUUCGAGGGUGAAAGCCCGUGGCUCAACCACGGAAUUGCCUUCAAUACUGGUUGGCUUGAGACCGGAAAAGGACAGCGGAACUGCGAGUGUAGAGGUGAAAUUCGUAGAUAUUCGCAAGAACACCAGUGGCGAAGGCGGCUGUCUGGUCCGGUUCUGACGCUGAGGCGCGAAAGCGUGGGGAGCAAACAGGAUUAGAUACCCUGGUAGUCCACGCUGUAAACGAUGAAUGCUAGCCGUUGGGGUGCAUGCACUUCAGUGGCGC
Molecule: ribosomal RNA, 735 nt
Filed under: Methylobacterium sp.
Lineage: Bacteria; Pseudomonadati; Pseudomonadota; Alphaproteobacteria; Hyphomicrobiales; Methylobacteriaceae
Description: bacterial SSU rRNA
Rfam family: Bacterial small subunit ribosomal RNA
Source: RNAcentral